RNAcentral lists this long non-coding RNA (737 nucleotides) under Equus asinus (donkey). RNAcentral describes it as "lncRNA (ENSEASG00005034713.1)". The record is from RNAcentral. Lineage: Eukaryota; Metazoa; Chordata; Mammalia; Perissodactyla; Equidae.
GAAAAUUUCAGAUGAAUCUCUGGGUUUUCUAAUUUUAGAAUAGUAUCAUCUGCAACUAAUCUUUGUUCAGAUGUUGAAGGCAUUGCUGACCCUUCCCUCUGGUUGAGGCAGCAUAACAUCAGAGAGCAAAUUUCUCAUGACUUCUGUGGUCUAAGAAGAUGGUCCAGCUGACCGUGCCAUCUCUCAGACAGGGACUUCUGAGGGGGUCACCUCCGCCCAGGACUGUGACAAAAUCCCAGUUACUAUGAUCAAAAGGUCACCUGAAAUUCAUGCCAAGGGAAGACGUCUUCAGAGCAUAAGUUUCAACUUAAAAAGAGGAUAAAUGACAUGCUUGAGAAGUAGCGAUAAAUACAGAAAAUCCAGUGUAGGACUCAUGGACAUUGAAAGAUGCCGAAGCCACUUGCUACAAAGGACAUUCUUUCUGAGGACUACAUAGAAUAGCGCUGUCUUGAAUGGACGUGAUUGGAUACUUUGGGAGCAAGAAGGAAGACUUCACUGUGCUAAACACUGAGCUAAAACGAUUGUUUGUAACAAAAGAUAGUCUACCUUGACUGAUACAGUAUAUCACAAAUAUUUUCUCCCUGAUUAUCUUUUAACUUUAUGAUGCCCUAAUAAAAAUGUUACUUUUACUGUGUUAAAUCUGCGAGUUUAUUCCUUUAUUUCUUAUAGCUUUGUCUUCCUGAGAAAGGUUUUCUCCACCCGCAUCUCCAGGGAUCAGUAUGGACUUGAUACUUUGA